RNAcentral lists this ribosomal RNA (796 nucleotides) under uncultured archaeon. RNAcentral's name for it is "bacterial SSU rRNA". It matches the Rfam family "Archaeal small subunit ribosomal RNA", at positions 85 to 879 of the family's 1478-position model. The record is from RNAcentral.
ACUGCUCAGUAACACGUGGAUAACCUGCCCUUGGGUCCGGCAUAACCCCGGGAAACUGGGGAUAAUUCCGGAUAACGCAUAUAUGCUGGAAUGCUUUAUGCGUAAAAUGGAUUCGUCUGCCCAAGGAUGGGUCUGCGGCCUAUCAGGUAGUAGUGGGUGUAAUGUACCUACUAGCCGACGACGGGUACGGGUUGUGAGAGCAAGAGCCCGGAGAUGGAUUCUGAGACAUGAAUCCAGGCCCUACGGGGCGCAGCAGGCGCGAAAACUUUACAAUGCGGGAAGCCGUGAUAAGGGGACACCGAGUGCCAGCAUCAUAUGCUGGCUGUCCGGGUGUGUAAAAUACACCUGUUAGCAAGGGCCGGGCAAGACCGGUGCCAGCCGCCGCGGUAACACCGGCGGCCCGAGUGGUGAUCGUGAUUAUUGGGUCUAAAGGGUCCGUAGCCGGUUUGGUCAGUCCUCCGGGAAAUCUGACGGCUCAACCGUUAGGCUUUCGGGGGAUACUGCUAGGCUUGGAACCGGGAGAGGUAAGAGGUACUACAGGGGUAGGAGUGAAAUCUUGUAAUCCCUGUGGGACCACCUGUGGCGAAGGCGUCUUACCAGAACGGGUUCGACGGUGAGGGACGAAAGCUGGGGGCACGAACCGGAUUAGAUACCCGGGUAGUCCCAGCCGUAAACGAUGCUCGCUAGGUGUCAGGCAUGGCGCGACCGUGUCUGGUGCCGCAGGGAAGCCGUGAAGCGAGCCACCUGGGAAGUACGGCCGCAAGGCUGAAACUUAAAGGAAUUGGCGGGGGAGCAC